AGAGUUUGAUCAUGGCUCAGGAUGAACGCUAGCUACAGGCUUAACACAUGCAAGUCGAGGGGGAAACGAUAUUGGAAGCUUGCUUCCGAUAGGCGUCGACCGGCGCACGGGUGAGUAACGCGUAUCCAACCUGCCCACCACUUGGGGAUAACCUUGCGAAAGUAAGACUAAUACCCAAUGACGUCUCUAGAAGACAUCUGAAAGAGAUUAAAGAUUUAUCGGUGAUGGAUGGGGAUGCGUCUGAUUAGCUUGUUGGCGGGGUAACGGCCACCAAGGCUACGAUCAGUAGGGGUUCUGAGAGGAACGGUCCCCCACAUUGGAACUGAGACCACGGUCCCAAACUCCGUACGGGGAGCA
This 357-nucleotide ribosomal RNA is filed under the name uncultured bacterium. Its description in RNAcentral is "bacterial SSU rRNA". It matches the Rfam family "Bacterial small subunit ribosomal RNA", at positions 8 to 350 of the family's 1533-position model. The record is from RNAcentral.